CCUACGGGUGGCAGCAGUGAGGAAUAUUGGUCAAUGGGCGGAAGCCUGAACCAGCCAAGUCGCGUGAAGGAAGAAGGUCCUUAGCAUUGUAAACUUCUUUUGUCAGGGAACAAAGUCGGAGACGCGUCUCUGGCUGAGUGUACCCGAAGAAAAAGCAUCGGCUAACUCCGUGCCAGCAGCCGCGGUAAUACGGAGGAUGCGAGCGUUAUCCGGAUUUAUUGGGUUUAAAGGGUGCGCAGGCGGGAGAUCAAGUCAGCGGUAAAAUGUCGGGGCUCAACCCCGGCCGGCCGUUGAAACUGGGUGUCUAGAGUGGGAGAGAGGUAUGCGGAAUGCGUGGUGUAGCGGUGAAAUGCAUAGAUAUCACGAAGAACUCCGAUUGCGAAGGCAGCAUACCGGCGCCAAACUGACGCUGAGGCACGAAAGCGUGGGGAUCGAACAGGAUUAGAUACCCGAGUAGUC
RNAcentral lists this ribosomal RNA (459 nucleotides) under uncultured bacterium. Its description in RNAcentral is "partial 16S ribosomal RNA". It matches the Rfam family "Bacterial small subunit ribosomal RNA", at positions 338 to 795 of the family's 1533-position model. The record is from RNAcentral.